GACACAGACAUUAGGCGUUGCCCAAAUAUCUCCCAAGGAAGAGGUGAUUGGACUACAUGGUUUUUACACCUAUAAAGGGUUGUAAAAUAAACCAAAGAGGAAGAUGAGGCAGAAACCUCAUGGAGCCCACAAAGCUGAAAAUAUUUAAGUAUCUGUCCCUUGGUAGAAAAAAAUUGCUAAGGACACUGUGUAACAAAGCCCCGGCCAACAACCAGAAGGCAUUUGGGGGUCACCUGCUGCCUUCCUAUUUCAAGGAGAGACGCCAAGGUAAUUUUGACCCAGAGGAGGAAUGAUGUAGCCACCUCCUAACCUUCCCUUCUUGAACCCCCAGGUCCCCUCUUGCUGUUGGCUGCACAUCAGAAAGGCUAUGAUGGGAAUGAAGGUGAAAACUUGGAGAUUUCACUUCAGUCGUUGCUUCUGCCUGCAAGAUCAUCCUUUAAAAGUAGAGAAGCUGCUCUGUGUGGUGGUUAACUCCAAGAGGCAGAACUCGUUCUAGAAGGAAAUGGAUGCAAGCAGCUCCGGAGGCCCCAAACUCAUGCUUCCUGUGGUCUAGCCCAGGGAAGCCCUUCCGUGGGGGCCCCG
Molecule: small RNA, 582 nt
Filed under: Pan troglodytes (chimpanzee)
Lineage: Eukaryota; Metazoa; Chordata; Mammalia; Primates; Hominidae
Description: processed transcript
Source: RNAcentral